UGAAAGAAUUCCAUUAAUAAUGAUCUGGAGCGUACAGUAUGUAGCAAGAUAACAUGGCAAGGUCAUGUCAUGUCACUCUCUCCGCAGCCUCUAAAAAUGAAUCUCGUUGUAUGAACAACAGCGCUAAUAAAACAGAGUGGCACUCCCGCGGCGGUCGAGCGAGGACCGCUGCAUGCAUCUAGAACAUGACGGCGGCGGCGACGGCACCGGCCACGGCGACGAAGCUGACGGAGGAGGCGUAGACGGCGGAACUGGCGGGCGUGGUGCCGCUGGGCGCGCCGGCGGGCGCGCCCGCGGGUGCUCCGGCGACCGCGGAGGGUGUCAUCGCGGAAGGAGCGCCGGUGGGGGCGUCGGUGGGCGGGGCCGGGGGAGAGGCCAUCGGGGACGGCGCCGAUGCGGUCGGAGGCGUGGCGACCGGGG
Molecule: long non-coding RNA, 420 nt
Filed under: Triticum aestivum (bread wheat)
Lineage: Eukaryota; Viridiplantae; Streptophyta; Magnoliopsida; Poales; Poaceae
Description: long non-coding RNA (TAES_LNC002353)
Source: RNAcentral